RNAcentral lists this ribosomal RNA (253 nucleotides) under uncultured bacterium. RNAcentral describes it as "partial 16S ribosomal RNA". It matches the Rfam family "Bacterial small subunit ribosomal RNA", at positions 524 to 776 of the family's 1533-position model. The record is from RNAcentral.
UACGUAGGUGGCAAGCGUUGUCCGGAUUUACUGGGCGUAAAGAGCGCGCAGGCGGCCAAGUCAGUCGAAUGUGAAAGCCCCCGGCUCAACUGGGGAGAGUCAUUCGAUACUGCUUGGCUGGAAGAUAGGAGAGGGAAGCGGAAUUUCAGGUGUAGUGGUGAAAUGCGUAGAUAUCUGAAGGAACCCCAGUGGCGAAGGCGGCUUUCUGGCCUAUUCUUGACGAUGAGGCGCGAAAGCUAGGGGAGCGAACGGG